CCGAGUUUACAACUCCCAAACCCCUGUGAACAUACCACUUGUUGCCUUCGGCGGAUCAGCCCGCCUCCCGGUAAAAACGGGGACCGGCCCGCCAGGAGCAGGGACCCCUAAACUCUGUUUCUAUAUUAACUUCUGAGUAAAACCAUAAAUAAAUCA
This 156-nucleotide unclassified non-coding RNA is filed under the name soil metagenome. RNAcentral's name for it is "partial internal transcribed spacer 1". The record is from RNAcentral.